This is a long non-coding RNA of Lytechinus variegatus (green sea urchin), 322 nucleotides long. RefSeq lists it as uncharacterized. The record is from RefSeq and is a predicted model, not a curated record. The transcript is spliced from 3 exons. Lineage: Eukaryota; Metazoa; Echinodermata; Echinoidea; Temnopleuroida; Toxopneustidae.
CACUUCAAUUCAAUCCUGUGUGUUCCUUCUCACUGGAUUUAAAAUUUUAUCCUGAAUAAAAUGGACAGCGAGACAAGCAUGUAUCUCGAAAAUUUAGAGGAAUAUAUCCUCGACGAAGACAGAGUUGUGACUUACAAGUGGCUCAGCCAGACUCUAGAAAUUCAUGUGAAUUUAGCAAAGAGAUUGCUGGAAACCUUCUUUAUUGACCAGAAGAAGAAAGGAUCUUCCACAUUACGAGUAACGUAUGCAGUCACAGGAACGCAAGAAACAAAAAAUGGAACCCAGGUAACGACAUUGAAAAUUCAAGUGUACUGUAAAAUGU